GUUAGAAAUAUGUCUCUUUCGUGCCCCAUUGCUCAGAAGGCUUAUGUAAAUUCAAUAAAUCGCUGACAAGAAAAAGCCCAGAGCCGGUCUUCAGAGGUUAUUAUGCAACACAGUGAAGUGAAUCCGCCUCCAUCGAAGUUGUUUGAGACGGAGAUUUUGGUGUUGCGAAGAACUAACUGCUUCACGAAAGCACGGAUUUGAAGAUGAUCUUGUGGAGGCAACAUUCAUAACUUCUAAAUUUAUGCUUCAAAGUAGAGACAAAGGAUUUGCACGAGAUAAAUUCGCUCCAUGCCUCAAUCUAGGACAUAAAGCUCUCAAAUGCUGGUUCAUUAAGACAAAUGACUAAUUACCCUGGAUCUCUACAAAAUUUCUUUCAAAUUUUCUUGUUUCUCCUUAAAACUGGAAACUUAAAUAUGCUCGUAUGAUUCAUGAUAUAAAAUACAUUACUGUUGCGCUUGUGAAUCUUACUGCUGAAGCAUCAUAUUAAUGCAAUUUAUUAGCAAUGAAACAAAAAUUAUAUUUCGAUGAGGAUUCUGCCAGGAAGACAAGUCUUUCGGAAAGAAAAGAUUAAAAAAACAAUGAUUAAUAUGAUUCUACGUGAAAUUGCUCAUACCGCUUUUUUCAUUGUUGCUAUUACCAAAUAUUACUGGACUUGUCCUGGCAAAAUGAAAAAUUCAACUGCAGGAGGAAAAUAUUUGUCACAAAUCUUGUGAACAAGCGAUCCAGUGAAAUAAAUAUGCAACUAGGCCUUGAGUUGCCCCUCUGCUGUUUUU
RNAcentral lists this long non-coding RNA (773 nucleotides) under Stegodyphus dumicola. RNAcentral's name for it is "uncharacterized LOC118183480, transcript variant X1". The record is from RNAcentral. Lineage: Eukaryota; Metazoa; Arthropoda; Arachnida; Araneae; Eresidae.